Long non-coding RNA from Numida meleagris (helmeted guineafowl), 504 nucleotides. RefSeq lists it as uncharacterized. NCBI's taxonomy places the organism in Eukaryota, Metazoa, Chordata, Aves, Galliformes, Numididae. The transcript has 3 exons. The record is from RefSeq and is a predicted model, not a curated record.
UUUGCGUAAAAGCUAUGGGGGUGGUAGAAAUCAGGACAUCCUCAGCAUAUGUCCUGCAGAUUGACAGACACCAGGUCAUCCAGGUUCUGAAACACAGGAACAGCGUAAUCUACUACACGGCGCCCCCUACCAACAGCGAGUGGAAUCUCACAGCCCCUGUAUGGCCCUCACAAAAGUUCCAUAAGCCUCAACAUUUUUGCAUGAACUGGUGGUUUGAUCUGGACACCUGACAGCAUUACAAGAAAAAAACAUUCCAUAAUAUGGGGUUUCCUGAUGACAUCAGCUGCUCACCCUUUGCCAGUGGUCCUGUAGCUGUCACUGUACUGGAUAUAUGAUGAAUGGAGGCCUCAGCCACAACCUUUGCUGGAGUUACAAGGAUGGGACUUAGAACUCCCUGAUCCUGUUCUGGGCUUUGCUGCCUUGCAGUUGUCAAAGUUGAGCAAUGUCCCCAGAGCUUCUGGUCACAAGCAGGCAAAGGCAUUGCUUGGCACAGUGUUGCUGCUG